AGAGCAGGACGGGGCCGCUCCGCCUACCCCGCCUGAAAAGCGGAAGGUCGGCGGUUCGACCCCGCCCCUAGCCA
This 74-nucleotide transfer RNA is filed under the name Nocardiopsis changdeensis. RNAcentral's name for it is "Nocardiopsis sp. Mg02 tRNA-Phe". RNAcentral also lists the same sequence under 1 other name. Lineage: Bacteria; Bacillati; Actinomycetota; Actinomycetes; Streptosporangiales; Nocardiopsidaceae. The record is from RNAcentral.